AAGAGCUUAGGAUAGCAUUAAGACCCUGAGCCUUCAAAGCUCAAAGCGGAAGUGAAAAUCUUCCAGCUCUUG
This 72-nucleotide transfer RNA is filed under the name Stathmonotus gymnodermis. RNAcentral describes it as "tRNA-Trp". It matches the Rfam family "tRNA". From Rfam's summary of the family: Transfer RNA (tRNA) molecules are approximately 80 nucleotides in length. Their secondary structure includes four short double-helical elements and three loops (D, anti-codon, and T loops). The record is from RNAcentral. Lineage: Eukaryota; Metazoa; Chordata; Actinopteri; Blenniiformes; Labrisomidae.